This is a long non-coding RNA of Quercus lobata, 616 nucleotides long. RefSeq lists it as uncharacterized. NCBI's taxonomy places the organism in Eukaryota, Viridiplantae, Streptophyta, Magnoliopsida, Fagales, Fagaceae. The record is from RefSeq and is a predicted model, not a curated record. The transcript has 3 exons.
CCCCUUUUGCUACCCCAAAAGUCUUCUCCCUUAUCCUAUUUUCUUAGUUGCAUCAGAUCAGAAAGUCCAGCCCCUUUUCUUCUUUCUCUAUUCCUCUUUCUUUGUUCUUCUUUCUCUCUUCUUCCUUUGCUCUUGCACGGCAACCCUCCCUUCUCACCAAAACAAUAUAUCCCUCUCUAGAGAAGAAAUUAAAAGGUUAACACUAAAAUUUCAGUUUCAAAGUUUAUGGGUGGAGAGAACGAGAAGACAGGCACUUGAGCUCCUCUUGUACAAUCUCUCACGCCUUCUCUUUUCAGUGCACAGAUUCUUCCUGGAAGCAGCGAGAGUAUUAGAGGUGGCAAGGAUUCUGUGUUUUCUCGUUUGUUAGGAUGUAGAGUUUUGUUGUAUAGCAGUUAGCUCUUUUAUUGUAUAGGAGGAAUCAAGAUGUAUUUGAUCAUUUGAGCACAGGUGUAAUUCAGUACCUUAGUUUGUUUUGAACCCCAGUUGUAUGUCUUUGGGGUUAGGUUUGUAAUAAGAGUUUUACUAAAUGUUUAGCUAUGUAAUAUUUACACGGAUACCUUAUGUUUCAGCCAGGUGAUAAGUUUCCAAGUUCAAAGGAAAGGAAAUUUCAAGUUUC